CAAUACCAUUAGCCUAAAUUUUACGGCAUAAUUUGCUUUAAAAUGCGGAGGAACCAAGUUAUGGGGUGAAUCACCAUCUGGUGUAGGUUAUACCUUUUCCGAACCCGUCAGCUAACUUCGCAGGCAAAAGGAGGUAUUG
This 139-nucleotide small RNA is filed under the name Clostridium sp. Its description in RNAcentral is "c-di-AMP sequence". It matches the Rfam family "c-di-AMP riboswitch aptamer (ydaO/yuaA leader)". From Rfam's summary of the family: This family represents a conserved RNA structure found upstream of the ydaO and yuaA genes in Bacillus subtilis and related genes in other bacteria. Lineage: Bacteria; Bacillati; Bacillota; Clostridia; Eubacteriales; Clostridiaceae. The record is from RNAcentral.